ACGAUGAACCGGCCAGCCGCGGCGGCCUCAAGAAAGCCCGUUCCGUGUCCUCAUGGGAAUCCCAUGUUCGCACGGGAAGGACAUGAUCGCCGUCCGAGGAAAGUCCGGGCUCCGCAGGGCAUGAUGCCGGGUAACACCCGGGCGGGAAGGGUGAAAACUCUUCCCGACAGAAAGUGCAACAGAAAGUAUACAGCCGCCGGAAAGCGCCCCCAGGGGUCAAAGUCCGGCGGCAAUGGUGAAACGGCGUAAAGGAGAGCCUUCGGGUUCUUCGGGUAAGAGCCCACCGCGAUGCCGGUAACGGCAUUGGCCGGCAAACCUCAUCAGGAGCAAAAUCAAGCGGCGCUACAGGGGCUUUGGCCUUUGUGCCGGCUGCCCGCCGGUCAAGCGCAGGUAGAUUGCCGGGGGUAUCCCCGGAGACCGUCCGCAAGGCCGGUCCAAGACAGAUGGCUGACAGGACUGCCUUGGGCAGGAUUGCCCACAGCAGUUCUGAUAACAGAACCCGGCUUACGGUUCAUCGUUUUU
RNAcentral lists this RNase P RNA (522 nucleotides) under Treponema sp. RNAcentral's name for it is "RNase P RNA component class A". It matches the Rfam family "Bacterial RNase P class A". From Rfam's summary of the family: Ribonuclease P (RNase P) is a ubiquitous endoribonuclease, found in archaea, bacteria and eukarya as well as chloroplasts and mitochondria. Its best characterised activity is the generation of mature 5'-ends of tRNAs by cleaving the 5'-leader elements of precursor-tRNAs. Cellular RNase Ps are ribonucleoproteins. Lineage: Bacteria; Pseudomonadati; Spirochaetota; Spirochaetia; Treponematales; Treponemataceae. The record is from RNAcentral.